This 404-nucleotide ribosomal RNA is filed under the name Actinomycetes bacterium. Its description in RNAcentral is "Actinobacteria bacterium partial 16S ribosomal RNA". It matches the Rfam family "Bacterial small subunit ribosomal RNA", at positions 355 to 776 of the family's 1533-position model. Lineage: Bacteria; Bacillati; Actinomycetota; Actinomycetes. The record is from RNAcentral.
UGGGGAAUAUUGGACAAUGUGCGCAAGCCUGAUCCAGCCAUGCCGCGUGAGUGAUGAAGGCCCUAGGGUUGUAAAGCUCUUUCACCGGUGAAGAUAAUGACGGUAACCGGAGAAGAAGCCCCGGCUAACUUCGUGCCAGCAGCCGCGGUAAUACGAAGGGGGCUAGCGUUGUUCGGAUUUACUGGGCGUAAAGCGCACGUAGGCGGACUUUUAAGUCAGGGGUGAAAUCCCGGGGCUCAACCCCGGAACUGCCUUUGAUACUGGAAGUCUUGAGUAUGGUAGAGGUGAGUGGAAUUCCGAGUGUAGAGGUGAAAUUCGUAGAUAUACGGAGGAACACCAGUGGCGAAGGCGGCUAACUGGACCAUUACUGACGCUGAGGUGCGAAAGCGUGGGGAGCAAACAGG